UUCAAUGGCGGCCGGUGCGUGGGGAUCGACAGAUCCGCCAGGCCUUCUUCUCGAUGGAAGUUCGUUUGCCUUGGUACGCCAACCCGCACCGUCCGCCACCUUC
This is a non-coding RNA of Stenotrophomonas maltophilia SKK35, 103 nucleotides long. NCBI's taxonomy places the organism in Bacteria, Pseudomonadati, Pseudomonadota, Gammaproteobacteria, Lysobacterales, Lysobacteraceae. The record is from Rfam.